RNAcentral lists this ribosomal RNA (1069 nucleotides) under Salmonella enterica. RNAcentral's name for it is "partial 23S ribosomal RNA". It matches the Rfam family "Bacterial large subunit ribosomal RNA", at positions 1239 to 2290 of the family's 2925-position model. Lineage: Bacteria; Pseudomonadati; Pseudomonadota; Gammaproteobacteria; Enterobacterales; Enterobacteriaceae. The record is from RNAcentral. RNAcentral also lists the same sequence under 1 other name.
UUCUGUAAGCCUGUGAAGGUGUGUCGUGAGGCAUGCUGGAGGUAUCAGAAGUGCGAAUGCUGACAUAAGUAACGAUAAAGCGGGUGAAAAGCCCGCUCGCCGGAAGACCAAGGGUUCCUGUCCAACGUUAAUCGGGGCAGGGUGAGUCGACCCCUAAGGCGAGGCCGAAAGGCGUAGUCGAUGGGAAACGGGUUAAUAUUCCCGUACUUGGUGUUACUGCGAAGGGGGGACGGAGAAGGCUAUGUUGGCCGGGCGACGGUUGUCCCGGUUUAAGCGUGUAGGUGUGUGUUCCAGGUAAAUCCGGUUCACUUUAACACUGAGGCGUGACGACGAGGCACUACGGUGCUGAAGCAACAAAUGCCCUGCUUCCAGGAAAAGCCUCUAAGCAUCAGGUAACAUCAAAUCGUACCCCAAACCGACACAGGUGGUCAGGUAGAGAAUACCAAGGCGCUUGAGAGAACUCGGGUGAAGGAACUAGGCAAAAUGGUGCCGUAACUUCGGGAGAAGGCACGCUGACACGUAGGUGAAGUGAUUUACUCAUGGAGCUGAAGUCAGUCGAAGAUACCAGCUGGCUGCAACUGUUUAUUAAAAACACAGCACUGUGCAAACACGAAAGUGGACGUAUACGGUGUGACGCCUGCCCGGUGCCGGAAGGUUAAUUGAUGGGGUCAGCGCAAGCGAAGCUCCUGAUCGAAGCCCCGGUAAACGGCGGCCGUAACUAUAACGGUCCUAAGGUAGCGAAAUUCCUUGUCGGGUAAGUUCCGACCUGCACGAAUGGCGUAAUGAUGGCCAGGCUGUCUCCACCCGAGACUCAGUGAAAUUGAACUCGCUGUGAAGAUGCAGUGUACCCGCGGCAAGACGGAAAGACCCCGUGAACCUUUACUAUAGCUUGACACUGAACAUUGAGCCUUGAUGUGUAGGAUAGGUGGGAGGCUUUGAAGUGUGGACGCCAGUCUGCAUGGAGCCGACCUUGAAAUACCACCCUUUAAUGUUUGAUGUUCUAACGUGGACCCGUUACCCGGGUUGCGGACAGUGUCUGGUGGGUAGUUUGACUGGGGCGGUCUCCUCC